Molecule: unclassified non-coding RNA, 333 nt
Filed under: soil metagenome
Description: partial contains 5.8S ribosomal RNA, internal transcribed spacer 2, and large subunit ribosomal RNA
Rfam family: 5.8S ribosomal RNA (bases 1-120)
Source: RNAcentral
GAUGAAGAACGUAGCGAAAUGCGAUAAGUAGUGUGAAUUGCAGAAUUCAGUGAAUCAUCGAAUCUUUGAACGCACAUUGCGCCCCUUGGUAUUCCAUGGGGCAUGCCUGUUCGAGCGUCAUUUGUACCUUCAAGCUCUGCUUGGUGUUGGGUGAUUGUCUAUCUUUGUAGACUCGCCUUAAAGUCAUUGGCAGCCGGCAUAUUGGCCUGGGAGCGCAGCACAAGUCGCGCUUCUUGUCAUGAAUGUUGGCGUCCAGUAAGUCUACAUAUUUUGCUCUUGACCUCGGAUCAGGUAGGGAUACCCGCUGAACUUAAGCAUAUCAAUAAGCGGAGG